AGUGAACGCUGGCGGUAGGCCUAACACAUGCAAGUCGAACGGCAGCACAGUAAGAGCUUGCUCUUACGGGUGGCGAGUGGCGGACGGGUGAGGAAUACAUCGGAAUCUACUUUUUCGUGGGGGAUAACGUAGGGAAACUUACGCUAAUACCGCAUACGACCUACGGGUGAAAGCAGGGGAUCUUCGGACCUUGCGCGAUUGAAUGAGCCGAUGUCGGAUUAGCUAGUUGGCGGGGUAAAGGCCCACCAAGGCGACGAUCCGUAACUGGUCUGAGAGGAUGAUCAGCCACACUGGAACUGAGACACGGUCCAGACUCCUACGGGAGGCAGCAGUGGGGAAUAUUGGACAAUGGGCGCAAGCCUGAUCCAGCCAUACCGCGUGGGUGAAGAAGGCCUUCGGGUUGUAAAGCCCUUUUGUUGGGAAAGAAAAGCAGCGGGUUAAUACCCCGCUGUUCUGACGGUACCCAAAGAAUAAGCACCGGCUAACUUCGUG
This 492-nucleotide ribosomal RNA is filed under the name uncultured bacterium. Its description in RNAcentral is "partial 16S ribosomal RNA". It matches the Rfam family "Bacterial small subunit ribosomal RNA", at positions 29 to 507 of the family's 1533-position model. The record is from RNAcentral.